CGUACACUAAAACACACAGGCUGUGAACUCGAAGAGUAGGGCGGGACACGUGGUAUCCUGUCUGAAUAUGGGGGGACCAUCCUCCAAGGCUAAAUACUCCUGACUGACCGAUAGUGAACCAGUACCGUGAGGGAAAGGCGAAAAGAACCCCGGCGAGGGGAGUGAAAAAGAACCUGAAACCGUGUACGUACAAGCAGUAGGAGCCCCACCACCAAAGCGUUUCGCUUUGCGUGGUGCGCAAAAUGCGUAACGACAGCAUGAUGGACGGUUAACGGAGCGUAAGCGACGUUCAACCUCAAAAAUCAGGCAGUGGAGCGUUUUGGGGUGGGGUGACUGCGUACCUUUUG
This 347-nucleotide ribosomal RNA is filed under the name Klebsiella oxytoca. Its description in RNAcentral is "partial 23S ribosomal RNA". It matches the Rfam family "Bacterial large subunit ribosomal RNA", at positions 374 to 610 of the family's 2925-position model. Lineage: Bacteria; Pseudomonadati; Pseudomonadota; Gammaproteobacteria; Enterobacterales; Enterobacteriaceae. The record is from RNAcentral.